This 30-nucleotide non-coding RNA is filed under the name Rattus norvegicus (Norway rat). The record is from RNAcentral. Lineage: Eukaryota; Metazoa; Chordata; Mammalia; Rodentia; Muridae.
UCCCAAACUCUUAAAGUGGCGACAUGACGU